GGCCACUGAGGCCUCCCCGUUCACCUCCCAGAGGCUGCCACUUUCUUCAGGGCUAGCAGAUGAAGGCAGCAAGGAAAACACCACCACAAGACCGACUUUAGGCUGGAGCUGAUGAUGCCACACGGGGGCUUCCUGGAGCUCCUGCAACCCCAGGCAUUAGUUCCAGUGCAGUUCUAGGAUCAGAUCAAUUCACUCGACAACAAGAGAAACAAAUGGAGAUUCCUACACAAAGACUUUCAAGCACAAAGAAAUCCUGCUGCCUAUAAAGCAGAGCUGCCUCAGCUCUUGAUGAACGACAGAAAAUACCACCUACUGCCAGACCUCUUCGCCUCACAAAACUCUCACCCACCUACUGCUUUUAGCUCAAAUUCCAGGAAUUCAGAUGAAGUGAAGUGCUCUCAUGGGGACCAGGCGUGGGUAUGCCAGUCCACUGCCCUGCAAGUCUCAAGGGAAACCAACUGCCCAUCAGCAAGUCACACCUGCCUUGGUGGAGGCAUUGAUUGGAAGGGCCACAGGCUACAUGUCCAGUCCUGAGUGGGAGAAUCGGUGUAGGGAUGUUCUGGGGAUGCUGGCUGUGGCUAGAUCAGGUCCAGCUACAGAAGAAUAAUGAAGACUUCACCUGAGGGCUGGAAAAACAAAACCUCAAGUGUGAGGCAGCCAACCUAUUACCUCGAGGGACUGUCCCGCAGCACAGCAGGGCCAUGGGAACAGCAGCAGACACCCCGGCCUCCUCACUACCUGUGUGUGUAUUAGACACCCAGCCUCCUCACUACCUGUGUAUUAGACACCCCGGCCUUCUCACUACCUGUGUGUGUAUUA
RNAcentral lists this long non-coding RNA (819 nucleotides) under Pongo abelii (Sumatran orangutan). RNAcentral describes it as "lincRNA". The record is from RNAcentral. Lineage: Eukaryota; Metazoa; Chordata; Mammalia; Primates; Hominidae.